UACGCCCACAUCACGUUGAAACACCGGUUCUCGUACGAUCACAUAAGUUAAGUAUCGUUGAGCUUUGUCAGUGCCUAGAUGGGUGACCGUUUAGGAAUACCAGAUGCUGCAAG
Molecule: non-coding RNA, 113 nt
Organism: Acanthosepion pharaonis
Lineage: Eukaryota; Metazoa; Mollusca; Cephalopoda; Sepiida; Sepiidae
Source: the annotation of a GenBank genome assembly